CAAUAAUUGCAUUGUAGCGGGUACAACGUCGACUAUAACCCCUAGCCUUCCAAGCUAACGAUGCGGGUUCG
This 71-nucleotide transfer RNA is filed under the name Brachystegia angustistipulata. Its description in RNAcentral is "tRNA-Gly". The record is from RNAcentral. Lineage: Eukaryota; Viridiplantae; Streptophyta; Magnoliopsida; Fabales; Fabaceae.